RNAcentral lists this ribosomal RNA (425 nucleotides) under Ercolania subviridis. RNAcentral's name for it is "partial 16S ribosomal RNA". It matches the Rfam family "Archaeal large subunit ribosomal RNA", at positions 1924 to 2664 of the family's 2987-position model. Lineage: Eukaryota; Metazoa; Mollusca; Gastropoda; Limapontiidae. The record is from RNAcentral.
AGCCUUAAGUAUUAUUUAAGGUGACGCCUGCCCAGUGCAAGUAGUUAACGGCCGCAGUACCCUGACUGUGCUAAGGUAGCAUAAUCAGUUGGCUUUUAAAUGGAGUCGGGAAUGAAUGGAUUUAUGGGGCCAAGCUGUCUCUCCUAUACUUAUUUGAAUUUACUUAUUAGGUGAAAAUGCCUAAGAGAAGAAAAAAGACGAGAAGACCCUAGGAGUUUUUACUAAAGGUUUUAAGACCUACGUUUUUGUUGGGGCGACAAGAGAAGACUAAAACUUCUUUUUUUAAUGGGCCGACUAUGGUAUGUAAGAUUAAACUACCCUAGGGAUAACAGCGUAAUUCUUUUUGAGUUUGCGACCUCGAUGUUGGACUAGGAAUUUAGUGGGCUAGCCGCCUACCUAUAUUGUUCUGUUCGAACUUAACUUCC